RNAcentral lists this long non-coding RNA (900 nucleotides) under Numida meleagris (helmeted guineafowl). Its description in RNAcentral is "lncRNA (ENSNMEG00000020322.1)". Lineage: Eukaryota; Metazoa; Chordata; Aves; Galliformes; Numididae. The record is from RNAcentral.
UUAAUAGAAGAUAUUUUCCAGGGUGUGAAAAUGCAGCUGAGCUAAUACUGUGUUCUUCUGGUCUUCUCAUGUUUUGUUGAAUUACAGGAAAAAUGCAGAAAAUAACAUGGUUUUCCCUCUUGAAAAAAACAUUUCUUAUGAGAGUGAAUGCACCAGGAGGUGAGUAACGAAUGCAGUUCACUAAUAUUGUAGCCUCCUCGGGGGAGGGUCAGGUUGAAGUUUCAGGAAAAGUUAUUUACCGAGAGAGUGGUCAGGCAUUGGAAAAGGGUUCAAAAGAAAACUGGCCCAGCUGGUGUUACUGGGCAGCUACAUUAAACUUCCCAUGGGAUUCAGCUGGAAGGAAUGUGCUGGGCUGACGUAAUUCACUUUUUUCUCCACGGGGUCAUUGUGCACUGGUGCAGGCUGCCUGGGGCAGUGGUCCUGCCACCAAGACUGCUAGAGUGCAAGGAGGGGUUGGAAAAGUGACAUGUGCACUCUGAGUGCAUAUGGAACUAACAAAUAUGCUGUGGAUUGUAAAUGAAGACAUAUGGUUCCUAAAGCCAGUGCAGUGGAGCAGUAGAGCAGAUACAGAUCCAUUUAAUGAUCAAACCUCCAGCAUCACUAUUUUGCAGAGAUUUUCUUCUGAUGUGAACUUUGGCCAUUGUUGUUCUGUGAUAUUCUGCCUUACUGAACAUAUUAAGUUGCUGUCUAUAAUUUUAAGAAGCUUUAAUUUCCCAUAAUUUUUUUCUUCGACUGUCAUAAUAUUACAAAAGUACCAAGUGUAAAAUCUAUACUAAAGUUCAUCAUACAGUACAUUUAAAUAUGAAUGCAAAACGUUGUUUGAGCUUUCCAUUUUUCUGGUAAGAUUUAUACACCCAUUGCAUUAAUAAAACUGGCUCUUUGCAAUGGAGAGAAACUUUU